This 496-nucleotide ribosomal RNA is filed under the name uncultured bacterium. RNAcentral's name for it is "partial 16S ribosomal RNA". It matches the Rfam family "Bacterial small subunit ribosomal RNA", at positions 28 to 507 of the family's 1533-position model. The record is from RNAcentral.
GAUGAACGCUGGCGGCGUGCCUAAUACAUGCAAGUCGAACGCUGAAGGAAGGAGCUUGCUCUUUCCGGCUGAGUUGCGAACGGGUGAGUAACGCGUAGGUACCUGCCUGGUAGCGGGGGAUAACUAUUGGAAACGAUAGCUAAUACCGCAUAACAGUAGAUGUUGCAUGAUAUCUACUUAAAAGGUGCAAUUGCACCACUACCAGAUGGACCUGCUUUGUAUUAGCUAGUUGGUGAGGUAACGGCUCACCAAGGCGACGAUACAUAGCCGACCGGAGAGGGAGAUCGGCCACACUGGGACUGAGACACGGCCCAGGCGACUACGGGAGGGAGCAGUAGGGGAUCUUCGGCAAAAGACGGAAGUCUGACCGAGCAACGCCGGGUGAGUGGAGAAGGUUUUCGGAUCGUAAAGCUCUGUUGUAAGAGAAGAACGAGUGUGAGAGUGGAAAGUGCACACUGUGACGGUAUCUAAACAGAAAGGGACGGCUAACUACGUG